RNAcentral lists this ribosomal RNA (425 nucleotides) under uncultured bacterium. Its description in RNAcentral is "partial 16S ribosomal RNA". It matches the Rfam family "Bacterial small subunit ribosomal RNA", at positions 354 to 796 of the family's 1533-position model. The record is from RNAcentral.
GUGGGGAAUCUUGCGCAAUGGGCGAAAGCCUGACGCAGCCAUGCCGCGUGAAUGAUGAAGGUCUUAGGAUUGUAAAAUUCUUUCACCGGGGAAGAUAAUGACGGUACCCGGAGAAGAAGCCCCGGCUAACUUCGUGCCAGCAGCCGCGGUAAUACGAAGGGGGCUAGCGUUGCUCGGAAUUACUGGGCGUAACGGGCGCGUAGGCGGACAUUUAAGUCAGAGGUGAAAGCCCAGGGCUCAACCUUGGAAUUGCCUUUGAUACUGGAUGUCUUGAGUUCGGGAGAGGUGAGUGGAAUGCCGAGUGUAGAGGUGAAAUUCGUAGAUAUUCGGCGGAACACCAGUGGCGAAGGCGACUCACUGGCCCGAUACUGACGCUGAGGCGCGAAAGCGUGGGGAGCAAACAGGAUUAGAAACCCUUGUAGUCC